UGGGGAAUAUUGCACAAUGGGCGGAAGCCUGAUGCAGCGACGCCGCGUGAGGGAUGAAGGCCUUCGGGUUGUAAACCUCUUUCAGCAGGGACGAAGCGUGAGUGACGGUACCUGCAGAAGAAGCACCGGCUAACUACGUGCCAGCAGCCGCGGUAAUACGUAGGGUGCGAGCGUUGUCCGGAAUUACUGGGCGUAAAGGGCGCGUAGGCGGCCACCGCAAGUCGACUGUGAAAUCUCCGGGCUUAACCCGGAAAGGUCAGCCGAUACUGCGGGGCUAGAGUGCAGAAGGGGCAACUGGAAUUCUCGGUGUAGCGGUGAAAUGCGUAGAUAUCGAGAGGAACACCUGCGGCGAAGGCGGGUUGCUGGGCUGACACUGACGCUGAGGCGCGAAAGCUAGGGGAGCGAAC
This 407-nucleotide ribosomal RNA is filed under the name uncultured bacterium. RNAcentral's name for it is "bacterial SSU rRNA". It matches the Rfam family "Bacterial small subunit ribosomal RNA", at positions 355 to 773 of the family's 1533-position model. The record is from RNAcentral.